GACGAACGCUGGCGGCGUGCUUAACACAUGCAAGUCGUACGGUAAGGCCCUUUCGGGGGUACACGAGUGGCGAACGGGUGAGUAACACGUGAGUAACCUGCCCACAACUUUGGGAUAACGCUAGGAAACUGGUGCUAAUACUGGAUAUGUGCUCCUGCUGCAUGGUGGGGGUUGGAAAGCUCCGGCGGUUGUGGAUGGACUCGCGGCCUAUCAGCUUGUUGGUGGGGUAGUGGCCUACCAAGGCGGCGACGGGUAGCCGGCCUGAGAGGGUGACCGGCCACAUUGGGACUGAGAUACGGCCCAGACUCCUACGUGAGGCAGCAGUGGGGAAUAUUGCACAAUGGGCGCAAGCCUGAUGCAGCAACGCCGCGUGCGGGAUGGCGGCCUUCGGGUUGUAAACCGCUUUCAGCAGGGACGAAGCUUUUUGUGACGGUACCUGCAGAAGAAGCACCGGCUAACUACGUG
RNAcentral lists this ribosomal RNA (465 nucleotides) under uncultured bacterium. RNAcentral's name for it is "partial 16S ribosomal RNA". It matches the Rfam family "Bacterial small subunit ribosomal RNA", at positions 28 to 507 of the family's 1533-position model. The record is from RNAcentral.